UACGGAGGGGGCGAGCGUUAUUCGGAAUUAUUGGGCGUAAAGGGCGCGUAGGCGGCUAUUCAAGUCAAAGGUGAAAUCCCUCGGCUCAACUGAGGAACUGCCUGUGAAACUGAAUGGCUUGAGUCCGGGAGGGGGUAGCGGAAUUCCCAGUGUAGCGGUGAAAUGCGUAGAUAUUGGGAGGAACACCAGUGGCGAAGGCGGCUACCUGGACCGGAACUGACGCUGAUGCGCGAAAGCGUGGGUAGCAAACAGG
This 253-nucleotide ribosomal RNA is filed under the name uncultured bacterium. RNAcentral describes it as "partial 16S ribosomal RNA". It matches the Rfam family "Bacterial small subunit ribosomal RNA", at positions 524 to 776 of the family's 1533-position model. The record is from RNAcentral.